This 957-nucleotide long non-coding RNA is filed under the name Struthio camelus australis. Its description in RNAcentral is "lncRNA (ENSSCUG00000002574.1)". Lineage: Eukaryota; Metazoa; Chordata; Aves; Struthioniformes; Struthionidae. The record is from RNAcentral.
GGUUGUAUCUGCAGGGUGACAUCGGGCUGUCACCUUAACUCUGCCCACAAUGUUGUCACCUAAACUCUGCCUGCAGAACUGUCACCGUAACUCUGCCCAUGGUGCUGUCACUGUAACUGCCCACAACACUGUCCCCUUAACUCUGCUCACAAAGUCAUCACCUUAACUCUGCCCACAGCACCAUCACCUUAAUUCCGCCCACAACAUUGUCCCCUUAACUCUGCCCACAGCACCAUCACCUUAACUCUGACCACAACAUUGUCCCCUUAACUCUGCCCACAACACUGUCACGUUGACUCUACCCACAGUGCCAUCACCUUUACUCUGCCCAUAGCACUAUCGCCUUAACUCUGCCCACAAGGGCAGCAGCAGCCUUGGGAGCACCCAAAGGCCCCCAGUACUCACUUGGCCGCAGGUGCAGGGUGAGGAGGAGCACGUUGAGGACUACCGAGACACUCAGGGCCACAGUGGUGGCCAGCACCUGCCUGGACCCAGAGCAGCUGGGUGGGAGAGCCCGGAUCCCCCGUCUGGAAGUGCUGCGGUGUCGGGCCACGCUGGAGCCGCAGCUCUUGGCCAGGGCGGGUGGCUCGGGGACUUGGGGGAGGCUUGGUGCGGCACCCGGAGGGUCCAAGGGCUGGGACUGGCCAGCCCCUGGUGAUACCAAAGUGACAGCAGGGUGCUGGGAGGCGGCUGAUGCCAGUAACACCAAGCUGACACCAGGGUGCUGGGACACCCCUAACACCAAAUGGACACCAAGGCGCGCUCUGUGCUGCUGCAGAGCCCAGAGCAACUCAUGACACGAGUGGGCCGCAGGGACGCCGUCGCCCCAGCGCACGCUGACGCCAGCCUCGAAGCUUUUAUUGCGGCAAGACGGGCACUGCAAGAUUCCUUUUAAAUAAUAAUAAUAAUAACAACAACAACAAUAAAAAAUAUACAGCAGUCGUUUUCUCCCUCGAA